AGUUCUCAGGCGAGAGCCGCGGCUGACAGGGUCUGGGACAGAAGGAAAGCCCUCCAGCCUCCAGGCCCUGCCUUCUGCCUGCACAUUCUGCCCUGAUUUCCGGAACCUGGAAGCCUAGGCAGGCAGUGGGGAACUCUGACUCGCCUGUGCUCUGGAGCUUGAUCCGAAAGCUUCCACAGUGAGGACUGCUCCGUGGGGGUAAGAGAGCACCAGGCACUGAGGCCUGGGAGUUCCACAGACCAACACCCCUGCUCCUGGCGGCUCCCACCCGGGACUUAGACCCUCAGGUCCCUAAUAUCCCGGAGGUGCUCUCAAUCAGAAAGGUCCUGCUCCGCUUCGCAGUGGAAUGGAACGGAUUUAGAAGCCUGCAGUAGGGGAGUGGGGAGUGGAGAGAGGGAGCCCAGAGUUACAGACGGCGGCGAGAGGAAGGAGGGGCGUCUUUAUUUUUUUAAGGCCCCAAAGAGUCUGAUGUUUACAAGACCAGAAAUGCCACGGCCGCGUCCUGGCAGAGAAAAGGCUGAAAUGGAGGACCGGCGCCUUCCUUAUAAGUAUGCACAUUGGCGAGAGAAGUGCUGCAACCUAAACCAGCAAUUACACCCAAGCUCGUUGGGGCCUAAGCCAGUACCGACCUGGUAGAAAAAGCAACCACGAAGCUAGAGAGAGAGCCAGAGGAGGGAAGAGAGCGCCAGACGAAGGUGAAAGCGAACCACGCAGAGAAAUGCAGGCAAGGGAGCAAGGCGGCAGUUCCCGGAACAAACGUGGCAGAGGGCAAGACGGGCACUCACAGACAGAGGUUUAUGUAUUUUUAUUUUUUAAAAUCUGAUUUGGUGUUCCAUGAGGAAAAGGGAAAAUCUAGGGAACGGGAGUACAGAGAGAAUAAUCCGGGUCCUAGCUCGCCACAUGAACGCCCAGAGAACGCUGGAAAAACCUGAGCGGGUGCCGGGGCAGCACCCGGCUCGGGUCAGCCACUGCCCCACACCGGGCCCACCAAGCCCCGCCCCUCGCGGCCACCGGGGCUUCCUUGCUCUUCUUAUCAUCUCCAUCUUUAUGAUGAGGCUUGUUAACAAGACCAGAGAGCUGGCCAAGCACCUCUAUCUCAGCCGCGCCCGCUCAGCCGAGCAGCGGUCGGUGGGGGGACUGGGAGGCGCUAAUUAAUUGAUUCCUUUGGACUGUAAAAUAUGGCGGCGUCUACACGGAACCCAUGGACUCAUAAACAAUAUAUCUGUUGGGCGUGAGUGCACUGUCUCUCAAAUAAUUUUUCCAUAGGCAAAUGUCAGAGGGUUCUGGAUUUUUAGUUGCUAAGGAAAGAUCCAAAUGGGACCAAUUUUAGGAGGCCCAAACAGAGUCCGUUCAGUGUCAGAAAAUGCUUCCCCAAAGGGGUUGGGAGUGUGUUUUGUUGGAAAAAAGCUUGGGUUAUAGGAAAGCCUUUCCCUGCUACUUGUGUAGACCCAGCCCAAUUUAAGAAUUACAAGGAAGCGAAGGGGUUGUGUAGGCCGGAAGCCUCUCUGUCCCGGCUGGAUGCAGGGGACUUGAGCUGCUCCGGAAUUUGAGAGGAACAUAGAAGCAAAGGUCCAGCCUUUGCUUCGUGCUGAUUCCUAGACUUAAGAUUCAAAAACAAAUUUUUAAAAGUGAAACCAGCCCUAGCCUUUGGAAGCUCUUGAAGGUUCAGCACCCACCCAGGAAUCCACCUGCCUGUUACACGCCUCUCCAAGACACAGUGGCACCGCUUUUCUAACUGGCAGCACAGAGCAACUCUAUAAUAUGCUUAUAUUAGGUCUAGAAGAAUGCAUCUUGAGACACAUGGGUAACCUAAUUAUAUAAUGCUUGUUCCAUACAGGAGUGAUUAUGCAGUGGGACCCUGCUGCAAACGGGACUUUGCACUCUAAAUAUAGACCCCAGCUUGGGACAAAAGUUGCAGUAGAAAAAUAGACAUAGGAGAACACUUAAAUAAGUGAUGCAUGUAGACACAGAAGGGGUAUUUAAAAGACAGAAAUAAUAGAAGUACAGAAGAACAGAAAAAAAAUCAGCAGAUGGAGAUUACCAUUCCCAAUGCCUGAACUUCCUCCUGCUAUUAAGAUUGCUAGAGAAUUGUGUCUUAAACAGUUCAUGAACCCAGAAGAAUGCAAUUUCAAUGUAUUUAGUACACACACAGUAUGUAUAUAAACACAACUCACAGAAUAUAUUUUCCAUACAUUGGGUAGGUAUGCACUUUGUGUAUAUAUAAUAAUGUAUUUUCCAUGCAGUUUUAAAAUGUAGAUAUAUUAAUAUCUGGAUGCAUUUUCUGUGCACUGGUUUUAUAUGCCUUAUGGAGUAUAUACUCACAUGUAGCUAAAUAGACUCAGGACUGCACAUUCCUUGUGUAGGUUGUGUGUGUGUGGUGGUUUUAUGCAUAAAUAAAGUUUUACAUGUGGUGAA
Molecule: long non-coding RNA, 2415 nt
Filed under: Homo sapiens (human)
Lineage: Eukaryota; Metazoa; Chordata; Mammalia; Primates; Hominidae
Description: HOX transcript antisense RNA
Source: RNAcentral